This 3025-nucleotide long non-coding RNA is filed under the name Marmota monax (woodchuck). The record is from RNAcentral. Lineage: Eukaryota; Metazoa; Chordata; Mammalia; Rodentia; Sciuridae.
CCACAGCCAGGCCUGGACCCCGGGAGGCUGACCCUCUGACAACCUGCCCUCCUUGGGCCAGAGAGAAAACACCUAGGGAUCUGCUCAAGGGAGGGAGAUGUGCCCUGCGUGGCAGAACUCUCUUCUUUCCCUUCUGAGUUCAGCCAGCCCUUGCCGGAGACCUCUGGCUUUGUCCGUUUAGCCGCUGCUGUUCCAGAGCACCACAGGCCAGUGGUGCGUAAUCAGGAAACAUUCAUUUCUACAGCCCCUGCAGCUGGGAAGCCCAAGUUCAAGGAUUGCUCAGUUUCUUGUGAGGGCCGACCUUCUGGCUCACAGAUGGCCACCUAAUUGGCUGUCCUUACCUGGCAGAGGAGGUAAGGGAGCUCCCUGGGUGUCUUUUAUAAGGACACUAAUCCUGUUCACAAGGGCUCCACCCUCAUGAGCUAAUCACUUCCUCAAGCCAACCCCCACCUGAUGCCACCAAAUUGAAGGUCAGGAAAUCAACGUGGGAAUUUUAGGGGGACAGAUUCAGUCCAUAACACCUGCUCUUUACUGCAGUUCCAGGCUCUGGGAUAAAAAAAGGACUGCCCUUCCCUUUCAGAAUCUGUAGGCCACGCGGACAACGCACAAUUAUGUACAGCAGGUCGGGGGUCCUAACUGGGAAAGUGUGACAUAUUAGAAGAGAAUCACUCCUUGUGUCUCCCUCUCCCUUUCUCUGUUAUACACAUCUCAGCAAACUGCAGGGUUUCCACAAGGAAGCCAAGAGUGGGAAUAACAUGGUUCUAGCCGUAAAUCUACUGGCAACUUUUAGCAAAAGGUUUUCUUGAAGGGCGAGGAGCAUGCCCGCUCCCCGAGGCCUGGUACACCAGGUCCAGAAAGCUUUCAAAAGCUUGCUUUUGUUUUGUUUUGGCAAUCUGGGGAAGCCGUGACACCUUUUUAGAAUAAUGCUUUUACAGGGCAUAUGAGAAGCAUGCUCAGGAUCCGGAAGGAACCAGCCAUGUCCGGCCCUGACCUACGGAGAGAGGAGGACCUGGAGGCCUAGGGGAUAAUGGGGAGAUAUUUUGCAGAAAAGGAGAAAGUCUUCCCUGAGAUGGAUUCCAUACUUAGGAAAUCUGUGAGAGGCCGGGGCGGAGGCUUUCCUCCCAGGUAAGUGUAGGUGACUCCGUAAACGCCUAUCCUUGGUGAGCUCGUGGUUACUGUUUCUUUUCUCCCCAAAACUGUGUCCCAACUUCCAGAAAAUAGACACACUGAUCCUUAAAUCAUCCCUCUUUGUUUCCCUUGUUCUCUGAGACAAGAGUGAUAACAGUGGACAUUGUGGGAAGCAAAGUGUUAAAGACUGGCUUUUCUGGGGAAGGGAGAGCAAGUCCUGGACUGAAUGAUCAGAGGUUUCUUCAGAAGCCUGUGGGGUCACUGUGGGACUUUGAACCUCAGAUGGGAGUUCACCAGAGUAUAGCCAAGGAGGAUGGGUGAUCCGGGACUGCAGCUGAGGAGAGGUCAGAGGUUCAGGGAGGACGCAUGACACACUCUGGGGGCAGCAGCAGCGGCCGGGAGCCUGUGAGAUCAGACACCAGCUCUUCUCCCCGCAGCUACUUUGCUUAUAUCCCCUUGCUCAUUACCCCCUAGGACCUGCAGUCCCCAGUUUACUAGUGAGACAAGGGACACUAAGCAUAGUUAACCCAAGUUCAUCCAGCUGGAGGCCGUAGAGCUACGAUCUUAUUCCACAGAACCUGGGCUCCCAGGUCCUUGUGCUGUUUUAUCCCAUGCCACAUGCCUACUUGGCCUGGGUGCCCAUUUUAUGUCCUUUUUAAAAAGCCUGAGGAUUUCUGGUGAGUUUCUGAACCUCAGGAUUCUCGUCUGUAAAACGGGGAUAAUAUUUAUCACCUUCUCCACAAACAUUCUGUUCUUUAAAAAAAAAAUUCUGAAACUUUUACAAAGGGGACUUGGGGAGGCAGAUUAGAGGUACCCAUACCCGCCUGCUUCUCCGUGAGUUAGAACCAAAACAUCUGGAGAACUGAUGCCUAUGGAGCGGGUGACUGAGAGGAUGCAAGAGUUCAGCAGCAGCCAGAGACUUGGGGAAACGCAGAGGCUUUGGAUAGUGGGGUCUAUGUGGCACAGAGCACCCCAGCACUGCUCACCGCAGAGGACGACGUAGAGGUGAAAGAGGGGGAGACCCAGGAGCACCAGUCACACAGGAAUUCACACCUUGCAGAAAUACAGCCUGAGCAGACGUCCACCCGCCUGCGUGUAGGCAACUGGCUCUGGGGCGGUUCUCUGCACUUCCCCACUGUGUUCCAGGUGCUGUACCAGGGGCCAUCUCCCAAGGUCAGGCCGAGCCUCCUCCCCGGGAGUCAAAGGCCCUUGCAUGUUCCUCUCUGGUCCCUGGAGCCGUAUUCCUGUGCUGAUCCGGGGAGGCUGCCUCGAGAGUCAGUGUGGUCCCGCGGCUUCCACCAACCUGCCAAGGGGACAGACAGCCACGCGGAAGGGAGUGGAGGUGCUCCCCCUUAAACCGGGGUUCCCAAGGCCAGCGGGAGGCACAGCUCAGAGUCCUGGGGGGUGGAGAGCCGGGCUGCGGCCACCCCAGCACAGACAGCGGCCUCUCCCCAGCCUCUCCUCACCCUGGGAGCGCAGCACAGGAAGUGCAGAAGGCACCUGUGCCAGGCACGUCCGCACCCCAUGACAGCUUGGUGACACGCUGCCUCAGUCGGCAACUGCCCGGCUGUGUCCGUGCGCAGCCCCGGAACCCAGAGUCGGGGUGUGCGGAUGCCACCUCCUCGCAGCUGAGAGGGUCCCUGCCGACUCCAGCACCAACCAGUCCUGUGGCCCCCGGGGGAAGCACCCCCAAGGAAAGAAGGGGUGACACGAGGCAGCUCUGAGGGGCCCCUCCUGCCGCACAGCAAGCGCCAAAGGGAGAGGGACUCUUCUAAUUAUUAGGGCUUCUUAUUGCUGGGUUUGGUUUGCAUAUACUUUUCUUAGUUUGCUUUCUAAUAUUUAUUAUAUUAUUUUUGCUUUUCAUCUUUUACCCUUCUUCUGCUUGUCCCCUUUUGUC